GCCGGGCGCGGUGGCUCAUGCCUAUAAUCCCAGCACUUUGGGAGGCUGAGGCGGGUGGAUCACCUGAGGUCAGGAGUUCUUUCGAGACCAGUCUGGCCAACAUAGUGAAACCCCGUCUUUACUAAAAAUACAAAAAAUUAGCCGGGCACAGUGGUGCACAUCUGUAGUCCCAGCUAUUCAGGAGGCUGAGGCAGGACAAUUGCUUGAACCCAGGAUCACGAGGUCAGGAGUUCAAGACCAGCCUGGCCAAUAUGGUGAAACCCCGUCUCU
RNAcentral lists this small RNA (270 nucleotides) under Saimiri boliviensis boliviensis (Bolivian squirrel monkey). RNAcentral describes it as "Metazoan signal recognition particle RNA (ENSSBOG00000006961.1)". The record is from RNAcentral. Lineage: Eukaryota; Metazoa; Chordata; Mammalia; Primates; Cebidae.